UGAUAGAGGCGCGGCUGACAAGAGUAGCUCCAGGCAAACGGCAGAGGACCGGGGAGCGAAAGGGGAGGCCGCCGAAGGGUCGAUCAGAUCCCUGUUUGAUCGAUGCCUGGGCCGUCGGGGAACACCCGCCGGACUGUCGUCCGCAAGGACGGAGUGCUGUCA
This 162-nucleotide non-coding RNA is filed under the name human gut metagenome. RNAcentral's name for it is "Lysine riboswitch". It matches the Rfam family "Lysine riboswitch aptamer". Rfam says of the family: Riboswitches are metabolite binding domains within certain messenger RNAs that serve as precision sensors for their corresponding targets. Allosteric rearrangement of mRNA structure is mediated by ligand binding, and this results in modulation of gene expression. The record is from RNAcentral.